This 384-nucleotide unclassified non-coding RNA is filed under the name Hevea brasiliensis (rubber tree). The record is from RNAcentral. Lineage: Eukaryota; Viridiplantae; Streptophyta; Magnoliopsida; Malpighiales; Euphorbiaceae.
GAUGUUCUUUAUCUUUUCCAGUGUUGUUACAAUGAAAAUUUGCUUUUUAUUUUUGAUGAUAAUUAGGUUUAUUUGAUUUUUCUGUUGAAAACUACUAAACUGCAUGCUAUUGAACUUUCUUCCUAUCCUGUUCUUGUUCAGCACAACUUCAUUUUUAAUUCUGAAUGUAGUAAAUUUUGUUUACUAUAACAGUUUUUGAACUCGUUUAUGUUAUCGAGGAUGCUAAUACUGAUGUUUUAUUGGACCAUCUUGCUUACUUUGGAAAUUACUGCUGGAUUGAAUGGUUACUGUUGAAGGAGUGAAACUUCCCUUCAUGCAAUUUAGUCAUCCAUGACAUGCUUGUGGAUGAAUCAUUCUGUUCUGUCUUCCCAUUCUUUUCUUUUU